Molecule: ribosomal RNA, 780 nt
Filed under: Bacillus sp. GG-2
Lineage: Bacteria; Bacillati; Bacillota; Bacilli; Caryophanales; Bacillaceae
Description: bacterial SSU rRNA
Rfam family: Bacterial small subunit ribosomal RNA
Source: RNAcentral
GCAGUCGAGCGGAUCUUUGGGAGCUUGCUCCCAAAGGUUAGCGGCGGACGGGUGAGUAACACGUGGGCAACCUGCCUGUAAGACUGGGAUAACUUCGGGAAACCGGAGCUAAUACCGGAUAAUAUAAGAGACCACAUGGUCUCCUAUUAAAAGAUGGCCUCGGCUAUCACUUACAGAUGGGCCCGCGGCGCAUUAGCUAGUUGGUGAGGUAACGGCUCACCAAGGCGACGAUGCGUAGCCGACCUGAGAGGGUGAUCGGCCACACUGGGACUGAGACACGGCCCAGACUCCUACGGGAGGCAGCAGUAGGGAAUCUUCCGCAAUGGACGAAAGUCUGACGGAGCAACGCCGCGUGAGCGAAGAAGGCCUUCGGGUCGUAAAGCUCUGUUGUUAGGGAAGAACAAGUAUCGUUCGAAUAGGGCGGUACCUUGACGGUACCUAACCAGAAAGCCACGGCUAACUACGUGCCAGCAGCCGCGGUAAUACGUAGGUGGCAAGCGUUAUCCGGAAUUAUUGGGCGUAAAGCGCGCGCAGGCGGUCCUUUAAGUCUGAUGUGAAAGCCCACGGCUCAACCGUGGAGGGUCAUUGGAAACUGGGGGACUUGAGUGCAGAAGAGGAGAGCGGAAUUCCACGUGUAGCGGUGAAAUGCGUAGAGAUGUGGAGGAACACCAGUGGCGAAGGCGGCUCUCUGGUCUGUAACUGACGCUGAGGCGCGAAAGCGUGGGGAGCGAACAGGAUUAGAUACCCUGGUAGUCCACGCCGUAAACGAUGAGUGCUAAG